ACAGGACCAAGUUAGAAACCAAAUGAAAUUUAAAGUAUUAAUUGAAUAAAAUAAAAAAUGAAUUAAAAUAAUUAAAAAUGUGGAGGGGCCAAAUGCACAAAUACCCCAUUAAGAUAAAGCGCGCGGAGCCUACCAUCGGGUCGGGUCACCGCGUGAAUACCAGCUUCAUACGACUCCAUUUUGAGACCACCAAACUCGGCCUCAAACGACGCCAUUUCUAGCUAGAUAUAAAAACUAAAACAAUCCCUAAUCUAAGCAGACUCUUCAGCACUUAAAAAAAAAGAAAAACAAAACCCUAAAAUGAGUAGACCCUUUGCACCGCAUCUGUAAACCGACUGCUUAGGGGACCUUCAAUCCUCGCCCGACUCCGAUUGUGACGGAGCGAACGAAGAUCAGGUAAACCCCUCACUUUCUCCCUUCUUUC
This 424-nucleotide long non-coding RNA is filed under the name Gossypium raimondii (Peruvian cotton). Its description in RNAcentral is "long non-coding RNA (GRAI_LNC008005)". Lineage: Eukaryota; Viridiplantae; Streptophyta; Magnoliopsida; Malvales; Malvaceae. The record is from RNAcentral.